RNAcentral lists this transfer RNA (77 nucleotides) under Rickettsiales bacterium. Its description in RNAcentral is "tRNA-Pro". It matches the Rfam family "tRNA". Rfam says of the family: Transfer RNA (tRNA) molecules are approximately 80 nucleotides in length. Their secondary structure includes four short double-helical elements and three loops (D, anti-codon, and T loops). Further hydrogen bonds mediate the characteristic L-shaped molecular structure. tRNAs have two regions of fundamental functional importance: the anti-codon, which is responsible for specific mRNA codon recognition, and the 3' end, to which the tRNAs corresponding amino acid is attached (by aminoacyl-tRNA synthetases). tRNAs cope with the degeneracy of the genetic code in two manners: having more than one tRNA (with a specific anti-codon) for a particular amino acid; and 'wobble' base-pairing, i.e. permitting non-standard base-pairing at the 3rd anti-codon position. Lineage: Bacteria; Pseudomonadati; Pseudomonadota; Alphaproteobacteria; Rickettsiales. The record is from RNAcentral.
CGGAGUUUGGCUCAGUUUGGUAGAGUGCUACGCUUGGGACGUAGAGGCCACAGGUUCAAAUCCUGUAACUCCGACCA